AUUGAACGCUGGCGGCAUGCUUUACACAUGCAAGUCGAACGGCAGCGCGGGGCAACCCUGGCGGCGAGUGGCGAACGGGUGAGUAAUGCAUCGGAACGUAUCCUGUAAUGGGGGAUAACCGUAGCGAAAGUUACGCUAAUACCGCAUACGCUCGAGAGAGGAAAGUGGGGAUCGCAAGACCUCACGUUAUAGGAGCGGCCGAUGUCCGAUUAGCUAGUUGGUGGGGUAAAGGCCCUACCAAGGCGACGAUCGGUAGCUGGUCUGAGAGGAUGAUCAGCCACACUGGGACUGAGACACGGCCCAGACUCCUACGGGAGGCAGCAGUGGGGAAUUUUGGACAAUGGGCGAAAGCCUGAUCCAGCCAUGCCGCGUG
This 373-nucleotide ribosomal RNA is filed under the name uncultured bacterium. Its description in RNAcentral is "bacterial SSU rRNA". It matches the Rfam family "Bacterial small subunit ribosomal RNA", at positions 30 to 403 of the family's 1533-position model. The record is from RNAcentral.